Molecule: small RNA, 89 nt
Filed under: Arabidopsis thaliana (thale cress)
Lineage: Eukaryota; Viridiplantae; Streptophyta; Magnoliopsida; Brassicales; Brassicaceae
Description: ATSL278190
Source: RNAcentral
UUAAGAACUGGUGAAGACGAAGACACAGCAACUGCAACGAUAGAAAUAAAAAGCUAGAAAGUGAUGAUAUGAGUAAAGUUGGUGUCAUU